UGGAUCACUGAUGAACACUGGUACUGUAUGAAUCAUGGAUGUGACUACAGGUCUUGGAGUCUGAGGUCCAC
RNAcentral lists this small nucleolar RNA (71 nucleotides) under Neotoma lepida (desert woodrat). RNAcentral describes it as "Small nucleolar RNA SNORD113/SNORD114 family". It matches the Rfam family "Small nucleolar RNA SNORD113/SNORD114 family". Rfam says of the family: The imprinted human domain at 14q32 contains two clusters of tandemly repeated small nucleolar RNAs named 14q(I) and 14q(II) snoRNAs. These two clusters are named SNORD113 and SNORD114 respectively in the HGNC approved gene symbol nomenclature. The snoRNAs found in both clusters are clearly related and are represented here by a single family. The record is from Rfam by way of RNAcentral. Lineage: Eukaryota; Metazoa; Chordata; Mammalia; Rodentia; Cricetidae.